This 301-nucleotide ribosomal RNA is filed under the name uncultured bacterium. RNAcentral describes it as "partial 16S ribosomal RNA". It matches the Rfam family "Bacterial small subunit ribosomal RNA", at positions 509 to 807 of the family's 1533-position model. The record is from RNAcentral.
CAGUCGCCGCGGGAAUACAGAGGGUGCGAGCGUUAAUCGGAUUUACUGGGCGUAAAGCGCGCGUAGGUGGUUUGUUAAGUUGGAUGUGAAAGCCCCGGGCUCAACCUGGGAACUGCAUCCAAAACUGGCAAGCUAGAGUACGGUAGAGGGUGGUGGAAUUUCCUGUGUAGCGGUGAAAUGCGUAGAUAUAGGAAGGAACACCAGUGGCGAAGGCGACCACCUGGACUGAUACUGACACUGAGGUGCGAAAGCGUGGGGAGCAAACAGGAUUAGAUACCCCGGUAGUCCCUGUCUCUUAUAC